GGGGAAUCUUCCGCAAUGGACGAAAGUCUGACGGAGCAACGCCGCGUGAGUGAUGACGGCCUUCGGGUUGUAAAGCUCUGUUAAUCGGGACGAAUGGUUCUUGUGCGAAUAGUGCGAGGAUUUGACGGUACCGGAAUAGAAAGCCACGGCUAACUACGUGCCAGCAGCCGCGGUAAUACGUAGGUGGCAAGCGUUGUCCGGAAUUAUUGGGCGUAAAGCGCGCGCAGGCGGAUUGGUCAGUCUGUCUUAAAAGUUCGGGGCUUAACCCCGUAAUGGGAUGGAAACUGCCAAUCUAGAGUAUCGGAGAGGAAAGUGGAAUUCCUAGUGUAGCGGUGAAAUGCGUAGAUAUUAGGAAGAACACCAGUGGCGAAGGCGACUUUCUGGACGAAAACUGACGCUGAGGCGCGAAAGCCAGGGGAGCGAACGGGAUUAGAUACCCCGGUAGUCCUGGCCGUAAACGAUGGGUACUAGGUGUAGGAGGUAUCGACCCCUUCUGUGCCGGAGUUAACGCAAUAAGUACCCCGCCUGGGGAGUACGACCGCAAGGUUG
Molecule: ribosomal RNA, 549 nt
Filed under: uncultured bacterium
Lineage: Bacteria
Description: bacterial SSU rRNA
Rfam family: Bacterial small subunit ribosomal RNA
Source: RNAcentral